UCGAGAAUUUUUCUCAAUGGGCGAAAGCCUGAAGGAGCGACGCCGCGUGGAGGAUGAAGGCCUUCGGGUUGUAAACUCCUGUCAUUCGGGAACAAAGUCCGGCAACUCUAUUGUCGGAUCUGAUAGUACCGGAAGAGGAAGGGACGGCUAACUCUGUGCCAGCAGCCGCGGUAAUACAGAGGUCCCAAGCGUUGUUCGGAAUUACUGGGCGUAAAGCGUGCGUAGGCGGCGGGGUAAGUCGGGUGUGAAAUCUCAGGGCUCAACCCUGAAAUUGCAUUCGAUACUGCUUCGCUUGAGCUCUGAAGAGGAGGUUGGAAUUUACGGUGUAGCAGUGAAAUGCGUAGAUAUCGUAAGGAAGGCCGGUGGCGAAAGCGAACCUCUGGGCAGCAGCUGACGCUGUGGCACGAAGGCUAGGGGAGCAAACGG
RNAcentral lists this ribosomal RNA (426 nucleotides) under uncultured bacterium. Its description in RNAcentral is "bacterial SSU rRNA". It matches the Rfam family "Bacterial small subunit ribosomal RNA", at positions 355 to 775 of the family's 1533-position model. The record is from RNAcentral.